This 450-nucleotide ribosomal RNA is filed under the name uncultured bacterium. RNAcentral's name for it is "partial 16S ribosomal RNA". It matches the Rfam family "Bacterial small subunit ribosomal RNA", at positions 354 to 796 of the family's 1533-position model. The record is from RNAcentral.
GUGGGGAAUAUUGGACAAUGGGCGAAAGCCUGAUCCAGCCAUGCCGCGUGUGUGAAGAAGGUCUUCGGAUUGUAAAGCACUUUAAGUUGGGAGGAAGGGCAGUAAGUUAAUACCUUGCUGUUUUGACGUUACCGACAGAAUAAGCACCGGCUAACUUCGUGCCAGCAGCCGCGGUAAUACGAAGGGUGCAAGCGUUAAUCGGAAUUACUGGGCGUAAAGCGCGCGUAGGUGGUUUUGUAAGUUGGAGGUGAAAUCCCCGGGCUCAACCUGGGAACUGCCUCCAAAACUGCAUGACUAGAGUACGGUAGAGGGUAGUGGAAUUUCCUGUGUAGCGGUGAAAUGCGUAGAUAUAGGAAGGAACACCAGUGGCGAAGGCGACUACCUGGACUGAUACUGACACUGAGGAGCGAAAGCGUGGGGAGCAAACAGGAUUAGAUACCCGAGUAGUCC